RNAcentral lists this ribosomal RNA (492 nucleotides) under uncultured bacterium. RNAcentral describes it as "partial 16S ribosomal RNA". It matches the Rfam family "Bacterial small subunit ribosomal RNA", at positions 29 to 507 of the family's 1533-position model. The record is from RNAcentral.
AGUGAACGCUGGCGGUAGGCCUAACACAUGCAAGUCGAACGGCAACACAGUAAGAGCUUGCUCUUACGGGUGGCGAGUGGCGGACGGGUGAGGAAUACAUCGGAAUCUACUUUUUCGUGGGGGAUAACGUAGGGAAACUUCCGCUAAUACCGCAUACGACCUACGGGUGAAAGCAGGGGAUCUUCGGACCUUGCGCGAUUGAAUGAGCCGAUGUCGGAUUAGCUAGUUGGCGGGGUAAAGGCCCACCAAGGCGACGAUCCGUAGCUGGUCUGAGAGGAUGAUCAGCCACACUGGAACUGAGACACGGUCCAGACUCCUACGGGAGGCAGCAGUGGGGAAUAUUGGACAAUGGGCGCAAGCCUGAUCCAGCCAUACCGCGUGGGUGAAGAAGGCCUUCGGGUUGUAAAGCCCUUUUGUUGGGAAAGAAAAGCAGCAGGUUAAUACCCCGCUGUUCUGACGGUACCCAAAGAAUAAGCACCGGCUAACUUCGUG